RNAcentral lists this ribosomal RNA (253 nucleotides) under uncultured bacterium. RNAcentral describes it as "partial 16S ribosomal RNA". It matches the Rfam family "Bacterial small subunit ribosomal RNA", at positions 524 to 776 of the family's 1533-position model. The record is from RNAcentral.
UACGUAGGGUGCAAGCGUUGUCCGGAAUUAUUGGGCGUAAAGAGCUCGUAGGCGGUUUGUCGCGUCGAAUGUGAAAACCCGGGGCUCAACCCCGGGCCUGCAUUCGAUACGGGCAGACUAGAGUUCGGUAGGGGAGCCUGGAAUUCCUGGUGUAGCGGUGAAAUGCGCAGAUAUCAGGAAGAACACCCGUGGCGAAGGCGGCUCUCUGGGACGGUACUGACGCUGAGACGCGAAAGCGUGGGGAGCGAACAGG